Long non-coding RNA from Oncorhynchus keta (chum salmon), 500 nucleotides. RefSeq lists it as uncharacterized. NCBI's taxonomy places the organism in Eukaryota, Metazoa, Chordata, Actinopteri, Salmoniformes, Salmonidae. The transcript is spliced from 4 exons. The record is from RefSeq and is a predicted model, not a curated record.
AGACUAGGUCAUGUGAUAUGUUAGAGUUAGAUAGACUAGGUCAUGUGAUAUGUUAGAGUUAGAUAGACUAGGUCAUGUGAUAUGUUAGAGUUAGAUAGACUAGGUCAUGUGAUAUGUUAGAGUUAGAUAGACUAGGUCAUGUGAAGGGUUAGAGUUAGAUAGACUAGGUCAUGUGAUAUGUUAGAGUUAGAUAGACUAGGUCAUGUGAAGGGUUAGAGUUAGAUAGACUAGGUCAUGUGAUAUGUUAGAGUUAGAUAGACUAGGUCAUGUGAUAUGUUAGAGUUAGAUAGACUAGGUCAUGUGAUAUGUUAGAGUUAGAUAGACUAGGUCAUGUGAUAUGUUAGAGUUAGAUAGACUAGGUCAUGUGAUAUGUUAGAGUUAGAUAGACUAGGUCAUGUGAUAGGUUAGAGUUAGAUAGACUAGGUCAUGUGAUAUGUUAGAGUUAGAUAGACUAGGUCAUGUGAAGGGUUAGAGUUAGAUAGACUAGGUCAUGUGAUAUG